CCUUUUUCCCUUUUCUUUUUCUAUUUUCCUUUUUUUUCCCUCCUUUUUUCCCUUUCUCUUUUCUUUUUCUAUUUUCCUUUUUUUCCCUCCUGGCCGAACUCCCCUCCCGCUCUCCCCCACGUGCAUGAUCUCCACCCACCUCCCCUGCCGUACUCUCUUCCCCCUUCUUUUGGUCGCACAGCACCCACCUCCCCCUCUCCAAGCCGUGAGCAGCCCAUCUCCACCUCUCUCUCACC
Molecule: long non-coding RNA, 236 nt
Filed under: Oryza brachyantha (malo sina)
Lineage: Eukaryota; Viridiplantae; Streptophyta; Magnoliopsida; Poales; Poaceae
Description: long non-coding RNA (OBRA_LNC003395)
Source: RNAcentral